GCCUGGGUAGCUCAGUCGGUUAGAGCGUGGUUUUGCUAACGCCAACGUUGCAGGUUCGAUCCCUGUAUGGGGCA
Molecule: non-coding RNA, 74 nt
Organism: Lacerta agilis (Sand lizard)
Lineage: Eukaryota; Metazoa; Chordata; Lepidosauria; Squamata; Lacertidae
Source: the annotation of a RefSeq genome assembly